This 65-nucleotide ribosomal RNA is filed under the name Bacillus sp. NRRL B-14911. RNAcentral's name for it is "partial 16S ribosomal RNA". The record is from RNAcentral. Lineage: Bacteria; Bacillati; Bacillota; Bacilli; Caryophanales; Bacillaceae.
UAUGGAGAGUUUGAUCCUGGCUCAGACGAACGCUGGCGGCGUGCCUAAUACAUGCAAGUCGAGCG